RNAcentral lists this ribosomal RNA (468 nucleotides) under uncultured Rhodocyclaceae bacterium. RNAcentral describes it as "bacterial SSU rRNA". It matches the Rfam family "Bacterial small subunit ribosomal RNA", at positions 916 to 1381 of the family's 1533-position model. The record is from RNAcentral. Lineage: Bacteria; Pseudomonadati; Pseudomonadota; Betaproteobacteria; Rhodocyclales; Rhodocyclaceae.
ACGGGACCCGCACAAGCGGUGGAUGAUGUGGAUUAAUUCGAUGCAACGCGAAAACCUUACCUACCCUUGACAUGUCCGGAAUCCCGAAGAGAUUUGGGAGUGCUCGCAAGAGAACCGGAACACAGGUGCUGCAUGGCUGUCGUCAGCUCGUGUCGUGAGAUGUUGGGUUAAGUCCCGCAACGAGCGCAACCCUUGUCAUUAGUUGCCAUCAUUUGGUUGGGCACUCUAAUGAGACUGCCGGUGACAAACCGGAGGAAGGUGGGGAUGACGUCAAGUCCUCAUGGCCCUUAUGGGUAGGGCUUCACACGUCAUACAAUGGUCGGUACAGAGGGUUGCCAAGCCGCGAGGUGGAGCCAAUCCCAGAAAGCCGAUCGUAGUCCGGAUUGUUCUCUGCAACUCGAGAGCAUGAAGUCGGAAUCGCUAGUAAUCGCGGAUCAGCAUGUCGCGGUGAAUACGUUCCCGGGUCUU